UACAGAGGGGGCAAGCGUUGUUCGGAAUUACUGGGCGUAAAGGGCGCGUAGGCGGCCUUCUAAGUCGAACGUGAAAUCCCUGGGCUCAACCCAGGAACUGCGUCCGAUACUGGAAGGCUUGAGGUUGGGAGAGGGAUGCGGAAUUCCAGGUGUAGCGGUGAAAUGCGUAGAUAUCUGGAGGAACACCGGUGGCGAAGGCGGCAUCCUGGACCAAUUCUGACACUGAGGAGCGAAAGCCAGGGGAGCAAACGGG
RNAcentral lists this ribosomal RNA (253 nucleotides) under uncultured bacterium. RNAcentral describes it as "partial 16S ribosomal RNA". It matches the Rfam family "Bacterial small subunit ribosomal RNA", at positions 524 to 776 of the family's 1533-position model. The record is from RNAcentral.